UUAACAUUCACCAUGACGCACUUCCGUGAAUGAGGAUACAUGUAUCGAUGACUUGCAACGUUUGUAAUACGUUUGAUACUUCGAGUAGUAAAGAGAACACGCCGUUGAAGUUCUCCGCGACAUUUUAACAAUUUAAGGUUUGCUUGCUUUUACUUUUUUGAAAGCGCUCUAGUCUUUUACCAAACUUUGGAGUUUGUGAAAACCGAAACCAGCGUGUUUCCUGCCAUUUUCGUUCAGUAGCCUAUUUUUUUCGUUAUGUGUAAAGAAGCCAUGGAGCCAAGAGACGAGAACAGAAAAAUUGGACACUCUUUUGUGAAGGACAGUGGUUUGAAGUCGAAGAACAUUGUUUUUCGGUCAAGGUUUAACUUGAAGACCCUCCGCGACUAUUCCAUUGAACGAAGAAAGGAUGUUCGUCAAUUCAAGAAGUCUGGACGGAGAUACAGUGGUGCCCAAAAGCACCUGGGCCUAAGCUAUGCGGUGGCAUCCUGCACGAGAGGUUUGAAGAAGACGAAGACCCAACCAGCUGACUGCUCGGCAGCAAUGGCCCCCCAGAACACAACGCAGUACAUCAUGGACCGCGUGUAUGAAGACUUGUGUGAAGAUUGGUUAACCCAGGACAAUUGCUCAUCACAGUUACUUGUUACAGAGGGCGCCUUUCGUCUACAGGACGGGACAGAAGUUCCGUUUACCUCAACAGCCCCGCAGCAAUGUCCCUUUGAGCGGACUCUAGAGUUUCUACAGAGGGAUUUCGAGAAUGUCGUGUUUUGGAACGAAAUCUGAGGCCAUGACCGACGCUCUGCCACGAGCGCUCAACAGGCCCAACGCGGACACGGCUUUCUGAGCCAACAGACAAUGACAGUGAGCACUGGCCACGGACAAAAUGUGCCAUUGAAGCACCGACGCUGUCCACACGCAAGGGGGAGCUCUCCGCAUGUCCUUGCCAUACGGCUCUGGUCCUUGCAGUUGCGGUUGCGCACUUGGGGACCCCCGAGCCGUGCGCGCUCUGCCUUGACCACACCUCGUGGUCCUCAGGUAAACGUGUCUCAUCGUGAAGGUACACAUGGCAUACUAUAGCAGCUAUUUCUAGCUAACUCUGAACACAUACCAGAUGAAAUAACUUAAGGUGUAAAAGGUUGCUCACUUAUUGCAUGUUGAAAAGAGUUGGCUAUGGUCGCAACUGUUGUCGGAGACUUUUUCAGGUCACCACCCUCCCUCCGCCGAAGCACAGCUGACUCACAGCAGCGCAUCGUCAGCCUCCGCAACCCCAGGACUCGAGAAGUUGGUAAUUAACUUCCCUUUUCACCUACCCCAUGUCUCAGACUGAAACCUUGCUGUGACCUGACCAGUAUCAUGGUGCGUGUGGGUGAAAUAAGAUGUGUAUAUAUUUUUUCAAGCGAACAGUGUGGUGAAUGUUUUUAUUUUCGGUUGAACGUGUGUGGUAUAAAUAAAAUAUAUGAAU
Long non-coding RNA from Engraulis encrasicolus (European anchovy), 1459 nucleotides. RefSeq lists it as uncharacterized. The record is from RefSeq and is a predicted model, not a curated record. NCBI's taxonomy places the organism in Eukaryota, Metazoa, Chordata, Actinopteri, Clupeiformes, Engraulidae. The transcript is spliced from 2 exons.